AUCACGGUGCCAACUGUGGGCGGGGCAUUCAUCAGCUGACGGCAGCGUUUUAACAAUCAGCUUUUGUGUCCUGCUACCACAGAAUCGGGCGUGGAAGAUUCAGAAAAACUCAAUUUGGUGAGUCAGAAGAGGAAACUUACGAUAUGUAUGUGUGAAGUAACAUGGCCAGCUGGAAGAGUCAUGCGCGUGCUCAACUGCAACUCAGAGACCAAACCGAGAAACUUCCAUACGAGGGCGUGUAUACAAGCUUGUCUCAAUUGGAAGAACGCUUUGAAAUUCGCCGGCAGUUUUUAAAAGAUCUCCAGUCAGCAAGCUCAGAAGAUGGAAUAAAAGUUGGGGAGAAUGUCAGACUACUUCAACUUGGCCUCAGAGAAAGUGAGCAUCUUGCU
Long non-coding RNA from Hippocampus comes (tiger tail seahorse), 389 nucleotides. RefSeq lists it as uncharacterized. Lineage: Eukaryota; Metazoa; Chordata; Actinopteri; Syngnathiformes; Syngnathidae. The transcript has 3 exons. The record is from RefSeq and is a predicted model, not a curated record.